This 460-nucleotide ribosomal RNA is filed under the name uncultured bacterium. RNAcentral's name for it is "partial 16S ribosomal RNA". It matches the Rfam family "Bacterial small subunit ribosomal RNA", at positions 338 to 795 of the family's 1533-position model. The record is from RNAcentral.
CCUACGGGAGGCAGCAGUGAGGAAUAUUGGUCAAUGGGCGUAAGCCUGAACCAGCCAAGUCGCGUGAGGGAUGAAGGUUCUAUGGAUCGUAAACCUCUUUUAUAAGGGAAUAAAGUGCGGGACGUGUCCCGUUUUGUAUGUACCUUAUGAAUAAGGAUCGGCUAACUCCGUGACAGCAGCCGCGGUAAUACGGAGGAUCCGAGCGUUAUCCGGAUUUAUUGGGUUUAAAGGGUGCGUAGGCGGCCUUGUAAGUCAGCGGUGAAAGGCUGUGGCUCAACCAGAGGAUUGCCGUUGAAACUGGGAGGCUUGAGUAGGUGUGAGGCAGGCGGAAUGCGUGGUGUAGCGGUGAAAUGCUUAGAUAUCACGCGGAACCCCGAUGGCGAAGGCAGCCUGCCAAGCCAUGACUGACGCUGAGGCACGAAAGCGUGGGGAUCAAACAGGAUUAGAUACCCGAGUAGUC